Molecule: long non-coding RNA, 1133 nt
Organism: Syngnathoides biaculeatus (alligator pipefish)
Lineage: Eukaryota; Metazoa; Chordata; Actinopteri; Syngnathiformes; Syngnathidae
Exons: 3
Source: RefSeq, a predicted model, not a curated record
UACAAUUGAGGGAGUUGCCUGAUCUUGUAAUGCAGGAUUCAACCGCUAGAUGGAAAUACCGUGUCGUGUCACCCAAAAAAGGACCGCGCUUUGUCUGCAGUGUGUACAUUGUGGAACCACUAAACUGCACAACAGAGGUUGACGCAAUCCCCCCUUGUAUCUUUUUCUUCUUCUUCCAUGCCCGCAGUGUAAGUACAGUAUAGCUUACGAACAGACAGGUCUAGAAAUUGCCCCAAAUGAUUCCGGUAUACAUAAGCUGAGGCUGGGUCAUGCAAGCUUUUCCAAUUAAAGCAAGACAGGAAGCAUGGUGGCGCACACAGCAGAAAGUUGACUAGCUUCGGAUCUCUUUCACACAGAACGACAGAAUGAGGGAGGGAGAGGGAGAGAGAGACAGACAGAUUGACAGAGACAGACAGACAGACAGACAGACAGACAGACAAAGAGACAGAGAGACUGCACAUCGGGGUGAAUGUGCACAUCGACAGAUGCACCCAGCAGUGGUGCAUUGAUUUCCAGCAGUUCUUUGAUGAGAUGAGCUAUUCCGCCUCCCUCCCAAGUCUACAGGCAGGUCCCAACAGUCAGCAGCGUCCCCCAUGCCGUAGCAGCGGGAACCCAGAAGGGCAGCUUGCCUCUGGGGGGACAUGGGCUCUAGCGGGUAAUAAUUCUGACUUUAUCUGACAUUGUCCCAAGCGGUGGCUUCUCCUGGUGUUGCGCGCCAAAGCCUCUGUGAUGCAUUCUGGCUUCAUUACGUUGGGUGAGAAGAUUUGGGACUUCAGAUAGAAGGUUCUCCAAAAACAUUACAUUUUGCUUGUUCUUUUUCCUGGAGUGAAGAAUGACAUUCUCUAGCGCUAAAAAGGCAUUUUGUGUGUGACAGUAUAUACUCAAACACAAUCAAAUAAGAGUGCAAGUAGUGUGGAGAGAUGUGUGAUACUGGUUGUCAAUCAGAUGCCUUGCCUUGCACAGAUAGCACUUGCCUUGUUAUUCGUACUAAAUGCCGUUCUUCACUGAAAAAACAAAUACGCAAAUCAUGAACCAUAUUAAACUGACAUUAAAAUGACAACAUUUUUACACAUCCAAUUAAAUCUGAGAUUAUUUGAGCGAGAAUUAGCUGUAUUAUUAGAUGAUGAGAUUAU